AAAUCCAAACCCAAAUUAUGACUGUCAAAACCAACCGUCCUAGAGCAAGUGGUAAAGGGUUUGGAGGUUGGUACCCGAGACCCAAGUUCGAAUCCUAAUUGAUUCACAUUUCUAGCUAAGUUUAUUUCUAAAUAAAAUAAACGAAGCGGGUAGCGUGCUAUUUAUCUCUCAAAAAAAAAAAAAAAUUUUGACUGUCAAACUCAAAAUUCGCAAAUCUGAAUCCGACAAAAUUUAAAAAUUUAUAUCCAAAUUCAAAUCCGACUAAAAAU
This 269-nucleotide long non-coding RNA is filed under the name Ananas comosus (pineapple). RNAcentral's name for it is "long non-coding RNA (ACOM_LNC023119)". The record is from RNAcentral. Lineage: Eukaryota; Viridiplantae; Streptophyta; Magnoliopsida; Poales; Bromeliaceae.